GAUGAACGCUAGCUACAGGCUUAACACAUGCAAGUCGAGGGGCAGCAUGACGAUAGCUUGCUAUUGUCGAUGGCGACCGGCGCACGGGUGAGUAACGCGUAUCCAACCUUCCCGUUGCUAGGGGAUAACCUUGCGAAAGUAAGACUAAUACCCUAUGAAAUUCUUCGCAGGCAUCUAAAGAGAAUGAAAGAUUUAUCGGCAACGGAUGGGGAUGCGUCUGAUUAGGUAGUCGGCGGGGUAACGGCCCACCGAGCCGACGAUCGGUAGGGGUUCUGAGAGGAAGGUCCCCCACAUUGGAACUGAGACACGGUCCAAACUCCUACGGGAGGCAGCAGUGAGGAAUAUUGGUCAAUGGGCGAGAGCCUGAACCAGCCAAGUAGCGUGCAGGAUGACGGCCCUAUGGGUUGUAAACUGCUUUUAUGCGGGGAUAAAGUGUACCAUGUAUGGUGUUUUGCAGGUACCGCAUGAAUAAGGACCGGCUAAUUCCGUGCCAGCAGCCG
RNAcentral lists this ribosomal RNA (500 nucleotides) under uncultured bacterium. RNAcentral describes it as "bacterial SSU rRNA". It matches the Rfam family "Bacterial small subunit ribosomal RNA", at positions 28 to 517 of the family's 1533-position model. The record is from RNAcentral.